GUUCGAUGCUUGUUAAGACAGAUGAGCUGCAGGCGGCUAGGGAUACACUAGGGACAGUGGCAGUUGUCAUGGUAAAUAGCCAUUUUAGGGGGGACUGUUGUGGAAAUAAGGUCUGCACAUAUUUCCUAGUUAGUAAAAAUGUCUAUUUACCCAUUUCACGAUAUGCUACAUAAAAAGCUAUACACACAUGUUAUAAUCAAGAUGGCUG
Non-coding RNA from Pelobates cultripes (western spadefoot toad), 208 nucleotides. Lineage: Eukaryota; Metazoa; Chordata; Amphibia; Anura; Pelobatidae. The record is from the annotation of a GenBank genome assembly.